RNAcentral lists this transfer RNA (78 nucleotides) under Calothrix sp. HK-06. RNAcentral's name for it is "tRNA-Leu". It matches the Rfam family "tRNA". Rfam says of the family: Transfer RNA (tRNA) molecules are approximately 80 nucleotides in length. Lineage: Bacteria; Bacillati; Cyanobacteriota; Cyanophyceae; Nostocales; Calotrichaceae. The record is from RNAcentral.
ACCCCUGUGAUGUAAUUGGAAAACAUCGCCGAUUUAGACUCGGUGUAUUGACUGCAGGUUCAAGUCCUGUCAGGGGUA